Molecule: non-coding RNA, 749 nt
Organism: Hydra vulgaris (swiftwater hydra)
Lineage: Eukaryota; Metazoa; Cnidaria; Hydrozoa; Anthoathecata; Hydridae
Source: RefSeq, a predicted model, not a curated record
UAUAGGUAGCGAUUCUUUACAGUUUUUGGCAUUAGACAAAAACCCUAUAAUUUUUUUGAACUUUACUUGUUUAUAUAUUUUUUAAGGUUAAGCAUGAAACUUGAAAUUUUUUGCAUUAUUCAGUUUAAAUCUACCUCUUUUCCAUCAUAUAUAGGAAGUACUAUUUACUACUUUAUAUACUAUUUAUAUGGCUUCACUUAUAUAUUUUACUUUUCAGAGUUUCAGAAAAAAUUUAUGUUCCAACUUGCUGAAAUGAAAAUAUUUUUAGUAGAUAGAACUAUACUGUUUUCUAAUAAUCCAGAAGAAGGUUUUAAACAAUGUAAAACAGUUAUCAUUAAUUGGCGGUAAAAAUCUAGCUGAUACAAUUAAAAAUAUUUUGCUCUUGUAAGUAAUUAACAAAAGUUUGAGUUUUACCAUUUAUGAUUGACAGUACAGCAUUUAGCUUCUUUUUUACAUAUGUAGACUACCAACAGACACUAUUUUAUCAGAAUACAGCAUGAAUUGUUUAAAGAAGAAAAAAAAGUUUAAAGAGUUGACAAGUCUAUGUAACGCUGUCACUAAGGCUGCUUUAAAGUAAAAAAAAACUUAACCAAAAUGGAUGCUAUCCAACUAAUUGGGAGUAUAAUUAGGCAUUCUUCUGACCGAAUAAAGAGAACAUCAACUAAUAUGGAUUUCGAUCGGUGAUGGCUUAAUUAACUGUUGUAUUUUUUUUAUUUUUUUUAUUUUUAAGCAAUUUUCUUCUAUUUAUA